RNAcentral lists this ribosomal RNA (253 nucleotides) under uncultured bacterium. Its description in RNAcentral is "partial 16S ribosomal RNA". It matches the Rfam family "Bacterial small subunit ribosomal RNA", at positions 524 to 776 of the family's 1533-position model. The record is from RNAcentral.
UACGAAGGGGGCUAGCGUUGCUCGGAAUCACUGGGCGUAAAGCGCACGUAGGCGGCUUUCUAAGUCAGGGGUGAAAUCCUGGAGCUCAACUCCAGAACUGCCUUUGAUACUGGAGGGCUUGAGUCCGGGAGAGGUGAGUGGAACUCCGAGUGUAGAGGUGAAAUUCGUAGAUAUUCGGAAGAACACCAGUGGCGAAGGCGGCUCACUGGCCCGGUACUGACGCUGAUGUGCGAAAGCGUGGGGAGCAAACAGG